This is a long non-coding RNA of Oryzias melastigma (Indian medaka), 1278 nucleotides long. RefSeq lists it as uncharacterized. The record is from RefSeq and is a predicted model, not a curated record. The transcript is spliced from 7 exons. NCBI's taxonomy places the organism in Eukaryota, Metazoa, Chordata, Actinopteri, Beloniformes, Adrianichthyidae.
CAAGCUAAUGUGAAAGGCUGCACGCGCCUCGUGUCUACCAAAACGGUGAAAACAAAGUUAGUUAUUAAAAAAAAAAUGAAAAUUUACCAUAUACCAUAGCACUUGGUUAAUGAGGGAACAAGCUCUUACAGUGUGUUCACACACGCCUUAAAAAAGGGUUGUGAACCAUCAGUCUAUGAGACCAUCCUUUCAAGCGUGGAUGCUACACACUUGGCUUACCUGGCAGCCAGACUGUGGAGCAGCUCCUUGCCAGGACACAGCUCCUCCACCAGAACCACAUGUGAAGGGGCGAUGAGAGCAUCGUGCAGCUGAACCAGGGUGAGUCGCCAUGACGACAGGAGAUGAAGCUUCACUGAAAGGUCCUGAUCCUGAUUUGGUGAUGCAACCCACCCUGAACACAUAAGAAGCCCCUCUUGGAUUUGAAGUGAUGGUGGACAACAAUGGCAUGUGCUUCAUUUCAUCUGAAACAAACCUGCGAAUGAGGAGCACCUUUGUGUGAAGGAUUACUGCUCCUGUCCUACCUUUAGCAGCUUUCCGACUCCACUGUUGAUUCAUCUGCGUGAAAGACCAACUAUCUGUGAAGCUGAAAGGAAGAUGUAUUUUUACAUGGAUUAUUACGCAGAGGAGGAGGAUGUAAGUCGUGAGAUUGAGGAACCCACGACAGUCGUGUGGCACAUAAGGAAACUGCGCCGUUUCCAGUGUUCCUGAUGUGAAAUACAACUAAAAACUAACUGAAGCUCCAGGUUUGGACACUUCACAGUGCAGUGAGACUGUACCUCCCUCCUCCACUUCCAGGUUUACCAACUUCUCUUUGAAGAAGAGAGGAAGCUCUGAGGAAAUACAAAAGGACUAAAGUAUAGUUUUGUCUUUUCUUGUUUAAAAGAUGUGUUUUUAUUUUUAUGCAAAAAUGUGAUUUCAAAAUAGUUGUGUGAGCCAUAUUUGGUCAGCUUGUCUCACCUUCCACUGUCACUGCUGCUGUGGUAACUGCAGCUCCAGCCUGACAUGAGUAGCUGCCACCAUCUUCAGGUGUAGCAUCUUUGAUUUGGAGCUGGAGGAAGCAGCCGUUGUUCUUCAUGGUGUACUUCCUGUUCUCUCUUAGCGGCAGCCUGUUCCUCUUCCAUUGGACUGGAAGGCCUUCUUUAGACACCUCACAGCACAGAGAGACUGUAGCUCCCUCCUGAACAACCACAUCCUUCAGGUCUUGUUUGAAAAAUGGAGUGAGCUCUGAAAAAACAAUAAAUGAGCAUGUUUAUUAAAGUAAAAAUAACAUAAAAUCAU